This 468-nucleotide ribosomal RNA is filed under the name uncultured bacterium. RNAcentral describes it as "partial 16S ribosomal RNA". It matches the Rfam family "Bacterial small subunit ribosomal RNA", at positions 28 to 507 of the family's 1533-position model. The record is from RNAcentral.
GACGAACGCUGGCGGCGUGCUUAACACAUGCAAGUCGAACGGAAAGGCCCUGCUUUUGUGGGGUGCUCGAGUGGCGAACGGGUGAGUAACACGUGAGUAACCUGCCCUUGACUUUGGGAUAACUUCAGGAAACUGGGGCUAAUACCGGAUAGGAGCUCCUGCUGCAUGGUGGGGGUUGGAAAGUUUCGGCGGUUGGGGUUGGGUUCGCGGCUUAUCGGCUUGUUGGGGGGGGUGUGGCUUACCAGGGCUUUGACGGGUAGCCGGCCUGAGAGGGGGACCGGCCACAUUGGGACUGAGAUACGGCCCAGACUCCAACGGGAGGCAGCAGUGGGGAUUAUUGCACAAUGGGCGGAAGCCGGAUGCAGCAACGCCGCGUGCGGGAUGACGGCCUUCGGGUUGUAACCCGCUUUCGCCUGUGACGAAGCGUGAGUGACGGUAAUGAGUAAAGAAGCACCGGCUAACUACGUG